UGGGGAAUCUUGCGCAAUGGCCGCAAGGCUGACGCAGCGACGCCGCGUGCGGGAGGACGCCCUUCGGGGUGUAAACCGCUGUUGCCCGGGACGAACCUAGAGUUUCGACGCGACUGACGGUACCGGGUGAGGAAGCACCGGCUAACUCCGUGCCAGCAGCCGCGGUAAUACGGAGGGUGCGAGCGUUGUCCGGAAUCACUGGGCGUAAAGGGCGCGUAGGCGGCUUCUUAAGCGUGCGGUGAAAGCCCGGGGCUCAACCCCGGGUCGGCCGUGCGAACUGGGGAGCUGGAGCACUGUAGAGGCAGAUGGAAUUCCGGGUGUAGCGGUGGAAUGCGUAGAGAUCCGGAAGAACACCGGUGGCGAAGGCGGUCUGCUGGGCAGUGGCUGACGCUGAUGCGCGACAGCGUGGGGAGCAAACAGGAUUAGAUACCCCCGUAGUCC
RNAcentral lists this ribosomal RNA (441 nucleotides) under uncultured bacterium. RNAcentral's name for it is "bacterial SSU rRNA". It matches the Rfam family "Bacterial small subunit ribosomal RNA", at positions 355 to 796 of the family's 1533-position model. The record is from RNAcentral.